AUGAAUGAGCGUUUGUUGGCUCCCUUUUCAGAUAACGAAAUUUCCGAUGCCCUGUUUCAAAUAGGCCCGCUGAAGGCACCCGGGCUAGAUGGUUUUCCAUCUCAUUUUUAUCAGAGAAAUUGGGGUUGUUUAAAGGAAGAAAUCAUAGCAGCCGUAAGGAAUUUCUUUGUGUCUGGGUGUAUGCCUAGUGGGGCAAAUGGCACGUCCAUUGUGUUAAUCCCCAAGGUCCAACAUCCUGCUUCUCUUAAGGAUUUCUGCCCUAUUUCUUUAUGUAAUGUGGUCUACAAGAUAGUCUCAAAAUGUUUGGUUAAUCGACUUCGUCCACUACUUCCAGAUCUUAUUUCUGAGAAUCAAAGUGCUUUCAUUCCAGGCCAAUUAAUUUCAGAUAAUUCCAUCAUUGCCUUCGAAUGUAUCCAUCAUACCCAAGCUUCAUCCAAUGGUGGUAAGUUCUGUGCCUAUAAGCUGGAUCUUUCGAAGGCCUAUGACCGUGUUGAUCGGGUAUUCCUGGAACGAGCAUUAUUGAAGUGGGGCUUUGCACCCCAAUGGGUCUCUCAGGUUAUGGAAUGUGUAAGCUCUGUGAAAUAUUCGGUGAAGUUUAAUGGUCGUCUUUUGGAGCAAUUUUCACCCUUCCGUGGAUUGCAACAAGGUGACCCCCUAUCUCCCUUCUUAUUCCUCUUUAUCGCUGAUGCUAUGUCAGCUCUGUUACAUAAUGCGGUUCAAAGAGGAGGUUUGGAGGCUAUCAAAAUUUGUAGAAGGGCGCCUGCUAUUUCACACUUGUUGUUUGCGGAUGACUCUCUAUUGUUCUUUCGUGCGACUAGUGAUCAAGCGGCGGUCGUCAAGGAUGUUCUGAACACUUAUGCUUCAGCGACGGGUCAACUCAUUAACCCUUCGAAGUGUUCCAUCAUAUUUUCUGAUGGAUGCCCUGGUCUAGUUGUAGAUGAGGUCAAACAUAUUUUGGAGGUUUCGCAACAGGAGUUCGAACCAAAAUAUCUGGGUCUUCCUGUCCCAGAGGGAAGAAUGCAUAAAGGGCGGUUCGAAUCUUUGCAGUCUAGAUUGAGCAAGAGAUUGGUAGAUUGGAGUGAGAAGUUCUCCUCACAUGCUAGUAAGGAGGUGUUAAUAAAAUCCGUUGCGCAAGCUAUUCCAGUUUACGUCAUGAGUAUCUUCAAGCUCCCAUUCUCUGUUUGUGAUGACUUAACAAAGAUGAUGAGACAAUAUUGGUGGGGUGUGGAGAAUGGUAGAAAGAAGAUGGCAUGGGUGGCUUGGGAUAAAUUAGUCUUGCCAAAGUCUAAAGGGGGCAUUGGCUUUCGGGAUAUGAGAGCUUACAACCAAGCUUUGCUGGCCAAGCAAGCUUGGAGGCUUUUAACAGCCCCAGAGUCACUUUCUGCGAGGCUCCUUUGA
Molecule: ribosomal RNA, 1398 nt
Filed under: Triticum aestivum (bread wheat)
Lineage: Eukaryota; Viridiplantae; Streptophyta; Magnoliopsida; Poales; Poaceae
Description: partial small subunit ribosomal RNA
Source: RNAcentral